AUACGGAGGGUGCAAGCGUUAUUCGGAAUCACUGGGCGUAAAGGACGCGUAGGCGGGUUGGCAAGUCAGAUGUGAAAUCCUACAGCUUAACUGUAGAACUGCAUUCGAAACUGCUAACCUAGAGUAUGGGAGGGGGAGAUGGAAUUAGUGGUGUAGGGGUAAAAUCCGUAGAUAUCACUAGGAAUACCGAAAGCGAAGGCGAUCUCCUGGAACAUAACUGACGCUAAGGCGUGAAAGCAUGGGGAGCAAACAGGAUUAGAAACCCUAGUAGUCC
RNAcentral lists this ribosomal RNA (274 nucleotides) under uncultured bacterium. Its description in RNAcentral is "partial 16S ribosomal RNA". It matches the Rfam family "Bacterial small subunit ribosomal RNA", at positions 523 to 796 of the family's 1533-position model. The record is from RNAcentral.